Molecule: long non-coding RNA, 1976 nt
Organism: Panthera uncia (snow leopard)
Lineage: Eukaryota; Metazoa; Chordata; Mammalia; Carnivora; Felidae
Exons: 4
Source: RefSeq, a predicted model, not a curated record
AGGCCCUAGUCACCAUGUCCAUAUCUUCCCAACACACCCACGGAGUGAAACCACAAAGUGAACAGGUGGAGGCUAGACUUGCUUCCUAGAAUUGAGUUUAUUCAAUCAAGAAAGUUACAGAAAAUGGAUAAGGAAGAUGUAGUAUAUAUAAAUAAUGAAUAUCACACAGCCACAAAAAAGAAUGAGAUCGUGCCAUUUACACCAACAUGGAUGGAACUAGAGUGCUACGCUGAAUGAAGUGGAGUCCAAUUCUCAAUCAAUGGAAGGGCCCCUUACAGAGCUCCACCCGUAUUAGCAGAACAUGGACUGCCUGAUGCCUUUUAAAGAUAAGCUUCCUGCUGCCGCUUUGCAACGGUUUACAAGCUGCAACCCUUAUGAAAUGUACUUCCACAAGCACAUCUCAAGGUCUUGUUCAAGGUGUCCACAUGGCUGCACUCCUUCUGGGGGCUCAAGAGGACAGUCUCCUUGCAUCUUCCACCUUCUGGUGACUCCUUGGCUGUGACUGCAUCACUCCGAUCUCUGCAUGCUGACAUCACCUGCUCCUAUUCUGCAUGUAAUCUCCCUCUGCCUCUGUUUUAUAGGGACACUGGUGAUUCCCUUUAGGAGCCACCCGAAUAAGCCACGAUACUCUCUUCAUCUCAAGAUCCUUAACUCAAUCACAUUGGCAGAGUCUUUUACCAUGUAAGGGGACAUUCGCACGUUCCAGGGUCUAGGACCUGGAUAUCCUGGGAAGCCGUAAUCCAGACUACCACAGUCCUAUGGCCACACUUAGCUUUAUGCAGCAUCAGAAAUAAUAGUCUUUUGUGGAGUGCUAUAUUCCUAACACAAGUUAGCAUGUCUUAUUACUAAAGUUAGACUGGGAAUGGGUAUAGGGUUCCAAUCAGCCAUCCCUUCUUGAGAAAUUUCUUCAAAUUAAUGUGGUUUGAACCUUAGAGUAAAAAACUUCACAUCAUCAACUCUAAAUUAUAUAAUUUUUGGAGUAUUGGAAAUCCAAGACAAGUUGGACUGGAAGGAUAUUGUUUUUGCCUGACCACUGUUAUGAUGCCUCUCCUGCUUUUUCCGGUGAUAGUGCCCUAAUUUCUAAUUUUCCUUUGAGUAAGUGCCUCCUGCCGGAUUUCAGUCCAUGUGCUGUGGGAUGCAUGUACCCUCGAUCUGGACAAUUUGCAUUUUUUGUUGGUUCAAAUUUGGGUCUGAAAUCCACAGGGAUUCUCCAAAGACCAUAGGACUUACAGAAACAAUGGGGAAACUGGAGGUCUCUUCCCAGUGGGAUUGCUGAGCUGAUAGACGUAAGCCGGAACUGCCGAUAAUUCUCUUUGCACAGGGUGUGACGAGCCUGCCCAGGAGCGCAGUCAACCCACAGGAAGAGGGAUGUGAGGGACGGGGAGAACCGUGUUCUUGGUGACGUCAUUUGAGUGCCUGUGUCUAGACACACCUGAACCAAAUAUACCCCUGGACCUUUUAUGGGAGUCAGUUGGUGAGUGGCUCCAUCCUAGCCCCGCUUUCACCUGUUCUUUUGCCACUUGGGUUGCGUUCUGUCCCUUGAAACCAAGAGGCCUGACUAAUGCAAAGUUGAAGAAAAUGCAUCAAGUUGUAGGCAAAGUCAAGACUAAAAGUCAGAUGUCCUUCCUUUUGAGCUGCUCUAUUGUGGUGCCUUUCCUUCUUCUCACAUAAUGGCUGUUGACCAGUUUCUUUUGAUUCCACUACAAAGUGGAAGUCAUUUAGUCCCUUAGUCAAUCUUGAUUAAAAAAAAAAAUGGCUUGAGUUCUUAUGUGAUUUCUUCUCAUCUGGCCUACAAGCUUCAACAGCUUAUCAAAGGAACAUCACUGACAAAUAGAAUUUGUGACAACAUUGAAUACCCUGGUUUUGGUUGGAAAAUAAGGAAGGAAAAGAGGGUAAUUUCAAAAUGCCAAGAAGAAGUAAGGAAGAGAUUGAUGACCUUUUUUGUUGUUGUUUCCGGCAGAUUUAUAAUGCAAUAA